Grus americana (Whooping crane) is the source of this 2825-nucleotide long non-coding RNA. RefSeq lists it as uncharacterized. Lineage: Eukaryota; Metazoa; Chordata; Aves; Gruiformes; Gruidae. The record is from RefSeq and is a predicted model, not a curated record. The transcript has 5 exons.
CGAGCCGAGGUGUUUCUCUUCCCCUUGCGGGAGCUGACGGUGAUGCCGAAGCAAUAGCUUGUGAGGCACGCGUACACGUACAUACGUAUACGGCGUCUGCCUAUGCGUUUCCGUGUGGAGAAGCCUCUGUGAGAUCCCCGAGGAGAGCGGCAGGCGAGGUUUGCACCGGAUCGGGAAGUUAGAACUUGUAAGACCAAUUUUUCAGCGGCAUAUGUGAGAAAAAUGAUAGUGUUUCACAUUUAAAGUAGGUUUUUUUCCUAAAACCUUUUAAAACAGAUGAUCUCAUUGUGGACUACCAAAAAACUGCUACCUGUAAAAAAAGAUUUGAGUCGACUGUCCAGGGAGGUGAGUCCACGUGCUGGUGACUGGCUUCUGAGGAAACAAAUAAAGAAACAAGAACAGAACACUUCUAAAACAUACUAAUACAAAGGCAGCAUGGAGAAUUCAAGCUCUACUGCUGUUGAACAGGUCAUCAUCCAACCACAGUACUGAUGACAGACUCCAACUGAAGCUCCCCAGAAGCUACAGGCAGUCCAGCGCCUUACCUGUGCUGGCAUGGUUUUACCUGCUGCAAGGGAGUCUCUGCAACAGGCUAGCAGACGUGCACAAUCGCUACCUUCAACUUACGCCACAGAUUUAGAGAAGAAAAACAGCAACAAAACCCAUCCAACAGUGCCAAACAGGCUGCUGUAGACCCAGUCAAUCUAUAGGCACAUGUGCUUUAUUCUGCUCGUAUCUACACAUCUAACACGUAGUUACUGGAGUGAAACUUGAGGUUGUUUACAGGGUUCUUAUGUUUCAAAUUUACGUGGGUUUUUCCUAGAUUGUCAUCUUUGUUUUUUCCUGUAUGGCACUGGUAGGAUUACAGAGGAGCAUUAAUCCAUACAUUCAUGCACAACUUUCACCCAAAGGAAAUUCCAGAGGAAACCACUACAUCUUGCAGAGAGGUCAUUCAUGUCCCUACAUGAAGAGUAUUGUGUCUACACCUGCAAAACAAGAGUUGUUUAUGCACAGCAGUCAGUGUAACGAGCGGUUUCCUCUCGUGGCGCACAGGGUCUCACAGCCUGUCGAGCUGUUCCCUCUUUGGUAGAGAGCAUAGAUUGAAUCAGUCAGAAGAGCUUGGCGCUCCUAUCUGUGAGGCGUCAGGAGAGACCAUUGGCUUGUGUGGUGGUGCGCUCUUCUUUCAGCAGAGCAGCCACGGCCAUUCCAAUGGCCGGUAACAGCCCACGCUACGCUGUGUGGUAGCGUAUCAGCGGUGAAUCUUGCGCCAAGGGCAGGACCGAAAACUAUGGGGUAAAAUUCCAUAACGAGCCAAGUAGCAGUUUGCUGCCCUUUGCGAAAAUAAUUUCUGUUGAUUUUUAAAACAACUUCUACAAAAACAUAACAUUUAAAACACAGUACUUGAAUGUGAUGGCUGGAAACUAUGAUCUAUUUAUACAGGUUUCUGUUCAAUUUGAUGAAAUGGUAGAUGAUGAGGGGAGCUGGUUAAAAAAAAAAAUAGUUGUCUACAUACCUCAUAGGAUUUACUGUGAUUUUACUGCCAGGUAGCUUAGCUACCUUGUGUGUUAUACCUAAAAACCUAAAAAUGUGUAUUUUGCAUCUGUUGCCAAGUUCACAAUUUACUUACUAGACUGUAACGCAGUUGCAAGUUAUUAAGGAUCAAAUCUUGGCAUUAAUUUGGUACAAUACCAUUCUAAGCUGAGGUUAGAGCAAAAAAAUGAUAAUUGGUACGUGGAUACAAAUUAGAGUUUAAUAUCCCAUGCAGCUGUUUACAUCUGCUUAAUUAAGCAGCAGUGACUUCACAUUAGCAUUGCUAUGAUACCAUAAAUACACACUAGAGAAAAAGGUACAAUCAUGUUAGCCCCGCUUUUAAUGUCAAAUCAAUGCAAGUUAGGUACUUUUUAUUUCAGUGUUGGUUUUUAAUGGGGGAAAAAAAAUGUCUUCACAUUUAAGGAGGAUCCUUCAGGUCUGAUACACCUGGGUUUGGUCCAAGGGCCAGGACUUGAUAAAAAGACUAGGCUGCUGUAGGCAAGCAGUUUAAGCAGUAAGUGAAAAGCUCUAAUGGAAACCACGAACUUAAAUACAGUUGGCAGUUAGUGGGUAAUUUUGCUUUUGGAGCCUUUACAAGAGCACGAGAGUCAUUUUGUACAGUAAUUGAAGGUAAGUACAUACCCGCCUAGUGCUGUUUUAACACUGAUGAAAUUCUCACACUUUGACUAUGUGGCAUAAACUCUUUCACGUAGUUACCAGCAGCUCUGGCACAGAGCUGCUUGUUUGGCUUUUUGAUCAAGGAUCCCCUGAAGUAACGCAGAUGUGCCCAAGUCAGUAUCUUGAGAGGUAUGUACGAUCAGGAGAGGCCUCGGAUUAACACCACGUACAGAUAUAACAGAAAUACGGUACUUUGGUCAGAACUAUCAAAGUCUGUUAACCAUCAGCAUGAGAACACAACCUCAGUUGGUGCCAUUUUUAAUGAUUAGAAAUAAUACAUUGUAAAACAAAAAGUGAAAAAAUUCCAGCAUGAUACUUAUAAACAAAGAACAAAUAGAAAGCAAAAAAGCUUCAGUUUUGUCUGAUUUAUAGUAUUUAUAAUACAACAGAUCAUUAGUCUGAGGUAAUACCAGUAAUAACUUUUUAGUCCUUCAGGGACUGCUCAAAAAUUAAGAACAGUGAUAGCAAUGCAUGUUAUGUUAAAAGUGAGACUUGAUUGUUAAAUCAGACAAAUCCCUUACCCUUUGUAGUUCAGCAUCUAUGGCUGCAGGUAUAAAAUUGGAAAUGAGUCUAUACAGUAGGAACUACGGAACGUGAGAGUCCUGCGUGGCACAUCA